RNAcentral lists this ribosomal RNA (253 nucleotides) under uncultured prokaryote. RNAcentral's name for it is "partial 16S ribosomal RNA". It matches the Rfam family "Bacterial small subunit ribosomal RNA", at positions 525 to 777 of the family's 1533-position model. The record is from RNAcentral.
ACAGAGGGGGCAAGCGUUGUUCGGAAUUACUGGGCGUAAAGGGCGCGUAGGCGGCCUUCUAAGUCGAACGUGAAAUCCCCGGGCUCAACCCGGGAACUGCGUCCGAUACUGGAAGGCUUGAAUCCGGGAGAGGGAUGUGGAAUUCCAGGUGUAGCGGUGAAAUGCGUAGAUAUCUGGAGGAACACCGGUGGCGAAGGCGACUACCUGGCCUGUUCUUGACGCUGAGGCGCGAAAGCUAGGGGAGCAAACGGGA